Molecule: ribosomal RNA, 463 nt
Filed under: uncultured bacterium
Lineage: Bacteria
Description: partial 16S ribosomal RNA
Rfam family: Bacterial small subunit ribosomal RNA
Source: RNAcentral
GAUGAACGCUGACAGAAUGCUUAACACAUGCAAGUCGAUGGGGAAGUGGUGCUUGCACCAUGGCAACCAUGGUGGACGGGUGAGUAACGCGUAAGGGACUUACCUGCAGGACUGGGAUAACAGGGGGAAACUCCUGACAAGACCGGAUAAUGUCAUGGAGCUGCAUGGCUUUAUGAUGAAAGGAGACGCCUGCGGAGAGCCUUGCGUCCUAUUAGCUAGUUGGUGAGGUAAUGGCUCACCAAGGCGAAGAUAGGUAGCCGGCCUGAGAGGGUGGACGGCCACAAGGGGACUGAGAUACGGCCCUUACUCCUACGGGAGGCAGCAGUGGGGAAUAUUGGACAAUGGGGGCAACCCUGAUCCAGCAAUUCUGUGUGCACGAAGAAGGUUUUCGGAUUGUAAAGUGCUUUCAGCAGGGAAGAAGUAAGUGACGGUACCUGCAGAAGAAGCGACGGCUAAAUACGUG